UGGAAGAUACUGCUCAUGGGAGGGCAACCAGUCUCGAAAGCUGGAGCAGGGCAACACCUGGGGGUUCGAUGCCUCUAUCUUCCGU
This 85-nucleotide transfer RNA is filed under the name Calothrix sp. NIES-4105. RNAcentral describes it as "tRNA-Ser". Lineage: Bacteria; Bacillati; Cyanobacteriota; Cyanophyceae; Nostocales; Calotrichaceae. The record is from RNAcentral. RNAcentral also lists the same sequence under 1 other name.